Molecule: ribosomal RNA, 402 nt
Filed under: uncultured fungus
Lineage: Eukaryota; Fungi
Description: partial small subunit ribosomal RNA
Rfam family: Eukaryotic small subunit ribosomal RNA
Source: RNAcentral
GCUUGUCUCAAAGAUUAAGCCAUGCAUGUCUCAGUAUAAGCUUUUACACGGCGAAACUGCGAAUGGCUCAUUAAAACAGUUAUCGUUUCUUUGGUGGUUAUUGAUUACAUGGAUAACCGUGGUAAUUCUAGAGCUAAUACAUGCGCCCAGACCCAACUUUUAGGAAGGGUUGUAUUUAUUAGGUACAGAACCAACCCGGGCAACCGGUCCUUUGGUGAUUCAUGAUAACUUUGCGAAUCGCAUAGCUUUAAUGCUGGCGAUGGGUCAUUCAAAUUUCUGCCCUAUCAACUUUCGACGGUAGGAUAGAGGCCUACUGUGGUGAUAACGGGUAACGAAGAAUAAGGGUUCGAUUUCGGAGAGGGAGCCUGAGAAACGGCUACCACAUCCAAGGAAGGCAGCAGG